CAGGUGUUGGGAGAAGUGACGCAAGACCCUGGAAGAAGGCCAACGUAUAAAACCCCAAGUCAAAAGGUCAAGCUGUGCAUUUGUCUUUCAAGUUUUCUGCUUUGCUGUCUUCCAAGUGCACCUUCCUUUCAUUCCUGCUGUAAAACUUGCCUCAGUCUUUCCUGCCUGAUACCCCUCAAGCAAAUGCCUCCUUCUUCUGAGGAGGCAAGAAUUGAGGUUGCUGCAGACCUGAUAUGGAUUUUCCACCGCUAACAUAUUUUGGUGCUGUGUGACUCAGAUAAGGAAAUUGAGGCUCAGUGUUGGCAGGUAACAUGUUCAAGAUCUUGAAACUAGCAGGUGGCAGAGCUGGGGUUCAUCUGUCUCCAUGUGCUCAGAGGUGAUCUCUUGUUCUCUGAAGGAGCUCUUUACAGAACAUGAUAUAUGGAGUCCAUCACUGCUUUCUGGCACUGUCUAAACUUGGGCAUC
This 465-nucleotide long non-coding RNA is filed under the name Homo sapiens (human). RNAcentral describes it as "HSALNT0252409". The record is from RNAcentral. Lineage: Eukaryota; Metazoa; Chordata; Mammalia; Primates; Hominidae.